CUUUUUUAUUUCACUUGAAGAUAUGGAGAUGAAUACAAGCUUGCUGGAUUCUCUGCCACUUUGCAGGCCAUCAUUUCAUUUGUGGAGAAUGGGGGUGAUCGAGUCAACUUGGUCAGAGCCGGGAAACACCAGGUUGUAUUUCUUGUGAAAGGACCUAUUUACUUGGUUUGCAUAAGCUGUACAGAAGAGUCAUAUCAGUCAUUGAGGGUACAACUAGAGCUCCUCUAUGGUCAGAUAAUACUUAUUCUUACGAAGUCUGUGAAUAGAUGUUUCGAGAAGAACUCUAAAUUUGAUAUGACUCCUUUGCUUGGAGGAACGGACGUUGUCUUCUCUUCUCUAAUUCAUUCGUUCAGUUGGUUUGUGCUAUGCUCUCACUCCCUCCUCUCUCUCUCUC
This is a long non-coding RNA of Nicotiana attenuata, 394 nucleotides long. RefSeq lists it as uncharacterized. The transcript is spliced from 4 exons. The record is from RefSeq and is a predicted model, not a curated record. Lineage: Eukaryota; Viridiplantae; Streptophyta; Magnoliopsida; Solanales; Solanaceae.